GACGAACGCUGGCGGCGUGCUUAACACAUGCAAGUCGAACGGAAAGGCCCUGCUUUUGUGGGGUGCUCGAGUGGCGAACGGGUGAGUAACACGUGAGUAACCUGCCCUUGACUUUGGGAUAACUUCAGGAAACUGGGGCUAAUACCGGAUAGGAUCUCCUGCUGCAUGGUGGGGGUUGGAAAGUUUCGGCGGUUGGGGAUGGACUCGCGGCUUAUCAGCUUGUUGGUGGGGUAGUGGCUUACCAAGGCUUUGACGGGUAGCCGGCCUGAGGGGGUGACCGGCCACAUUGGGACUGAGAUACGGCCCAGACUCCUACGGGAGGCAGCAGUGGGGAAUAUUGCACAAUGGGCGGAAGCCUGAUGCAGCAACGCCGCGUGCGGGAUGACGGCCUUCGGGUUGUAAACCGCUUUCGCCUGUGACGAAGCGUGAGUGACGGUAAUGGGUAAAGAAGCACCGGCUAACUACGUG
This 468-nucleotide ribosomal RNA is filed under the name uncultured bacterium. RNAcentral describes it as "partial 16S ribosomal RNA". It matches the Rfam family "Bacterial small subunit ribosomal RNA", at positions 28 to 507 of the family's 1533-position model. The record is from RNAcentral.